UACGAGUGGUGCAAGCGUUAUUCGGAAUCAUUGGGCGUAAAGGGUGUGUAGACGGCAUGCUAAGUCAACUGUUAAAUUCUCCGGCCUAACCGGAGGCAAGCAGUAGAAACUGAUGUGCUAGAGGGUGGAAGAGAGAAGCGGAAUUCUCGGAGUAGCGGUAAAAUGCGUAGAUCUCGAGAGGAACACCAAUGGCGAAGGCAGCUUCUUGGUCCACAUCUGACGUUGAGACACGAAAGCGUGGGGAGCAAACAGG
Molecule: ribosomal RNA, 253 nt
Filed under: uncultured bacterium
Lineage: Bacteria
Description: partial 16S ribosomal RNA
Rfam family: Bacterial small subunit ribosomal RNA
Source: RNAcentral